GUUUAGUUUUGUUAUACGUGUCAAUCAAAACAAAAUGCGUCUCACCGUGUUCUUCAUUGCUGUUUUGUGCUUAUUCCAGUACGGAUACACUUACUGCUGUUUCCGAACGCAACCCUCAACUGCGUGCGCGGUCGCUGAGACCCCAUGCAUGAGCUCUUGUGCGAUGUCCAACGGUUGCUGUGGUGGCUGUUGUGGCGGCUGUGGCGGUUGCGGUCGUUCUAACUGUGGAUGCGGUGCGGCGUGCGGAUGUUGCAGGGAGAGAUCUAACGUCUGUAGCACAUAAGUCGAGUAUCCUGCGACGAUUAUCGAGAUGACUCCGAAUUAUUACGGCGCUUGUUGGUCUUAUUGAUGUCGCAAUUUUAUUAUAAUUGACGUAAUUGUAAAGGCAAAAGGAAGCGGUUCACUCAGCUCUUGCUGACUGGGAUAGGUAGUUCCAAGCAGCGCUGGUUUUUAGCCUCUCCUAAACUUCCUGAGGUGAAAAUCUUGGGAUUCGGAUUGCCUUUGCAGAGUAAGUGUGAAAAAUAAACAAGGUUUUCCGUGGAAUAGGAACUUAUAUUUCAAUAGAGUUAACACGUUAGACAACCAUAUU
Molecule: long non-coding RNA, 589 nt
Organism: Manduca sexta (tobacco hornworm)
Lineage: Eukaryota; Metazoa; Arthropoda; Insecta; Lepidoptera; Sphingidae
Exons: 4
Source: RefSeq, a predicted model, not a curated record